AUUGAACGCUAGCGGGAUGCUUUACACAUGCAAGUCGAACGGAGUGGCGGACGGGUGAGUAAUAUCUCGGAACGUGCCUAGUAGCGGGGGAUAACUACUGGAAAGAGUGGCUAAUACCGCAUACGAUUGGCGCGGCCGAUAUUGGAUUAGCUAGUUGGUGGGGUAAAGGCUCACCAAGGCGACGAUCAGUAGCUGGUCUGAGAGGAUGACCAGCCACACUGGAACUGAGAAACGGGCCAGACUCCUACGGGAGGCAGCAGGGGGGAAUAUUGGACAAUGGGGGAAAGCCUGAUGCAGCCAUGCCGCGUGUAUGAUGAAGGCCUUAGGGUUGUAAAGUACUUUUAGCAGGGAAGCGGUAUCGGCAGAAGAAGCACCGGCUAACUCCGUGCCAGCAGCCGCGGUAAUAC
RNAcentral lists this ribosomal RNA (407 nucleotides) under uncultured bacterium. Its description in RNAcentral is "partial 16S ribosomal RNA". It matches the Rfam family "Bacterial small subunit ribosomal RNA", at positions 30 to 526 of the family's 1533-position model. The record is from RNAcentral.